UCUGUCUUUUGUACCUGUGGUGAAGAGAAACAAUUCAUAUUUACAAACAUGGCGCAAAAAGAUGCCAGAAUUUACGUUGGUAAUCUUCCUCCAGAUAUAAGCGACAGGGACAUUGAAGAUUUAUUUGCAAAAUAUGGAAGAAUCCACUACGUAGACCUAAAGAACAGGAGAGGGCCACCGUUCGCUUUCGUUGAAUUUGCUGAUCCAAGGGAUGCUGAAGAUGCAGUCCAUUGUCGAAAUGGCUAUGGUUAUGAUGGCUACAACCUGCGAGUGGAAUUUCCUCGCGGUAGUGGAGGAUACAGAAUGGGUGGGAGUACACAACGUUCAGGUGGUAUGGGAGGCAGCAGAGGUAGCUUCGGCCAGGGACGUUUUUCCGCUUCACGUAGAUCUGAAUACAGAGUACUAGUAUCAGGGUUACCACCAACAGGAAGCUGGCAAGAUUUAAAGGACCACAUGCGUGAAGCUGGUGAUGUUUGUUAUGCGGAUGUCUAUAAAGAUGGCACAGGAGUGGUGGAAUAUCUACGACACGAUGACAUGAAGUAUGCGGUCAGAAAAUUGGAUGAUACAAAGUUCAGAUCACACGAGGGAGAAACAUCAUAUGUUAGAGUCAAAGAAGAUAGAGGAGGGCGUUCUCGUAGUCGAAGCCCAAGAGGGUCAUCUCCACGUUAUGGCCGGUCGCGUUCACGAUCAUAGGCUAAAGAAAAGUGCUGGUGAAUUUCAUAAGUGAGAUUGAUAUGAAACCUGGAUAAACGAGGAAGUCGUGUCACAUGGCAAUAAACAAGAUGUUGACAGUGUUUACUUGCUAGGGAGACAAUUAACUACGCUCUUCCAUCCCUGGACAUUACAGACUUUUCACUUUCUAGCUAAAGGAGGGCUUCAGAUUAUGGUCUAAGCUUGUUUUACUCUGGAAGGAGUGAGUUCACUCAGAGGAAGCAAAUUGAGAUAAUGGUAUUGGAUUCAAUCUUUGGAAAAACCAUUCUCCCCAAAUUCCACUUGGAUAGAAUCUUUCGGAACCCCUCCUCGGAUCAACAUAGCGGAAAUAAUUUCCUAUUUUGUCGACCAAAAAAUGGAUCAAAAUCUUUAGGAUCCUUUCUUUGGAUAACCUUGUUCUUGGAAAAAUAAAAUUUCUUUGGAAAAGGGAGAAAAAUUCAGGAUCCAACUCAAAAAUAUUCAGACAGGGGAGAGCUCUUGGGAUCUGGCACAGGGAGAGAUGGAAAGAUGGAAAAGAAAUGGAAUUUUUUUUCUUAAUAUUUCUUAGUUUUUUUUUCAAAUUGUUAAAUUUAUUCUGAAAUUAAUUUUCCCAUUCUAAAAGUCUUAUCUGAAAUUCUUUUGUUCUCGGUAACUUUAGUAGUAAAAUGAAUUUCUUAUAGCAUGUAUUUUCAUUUUGAAACUUCUGAUGUGUGUUUUUUUUUUUGAUAAUGUUUUAGCAGAAUAUUUGGAGGAAAAAGAAGUAAUGCACCACCAAAUAUUUUUGUUACAUUAAAGAAAACAAUAAGCUUCUUCUGGAUCUUCUCUGUGUUAGGAAAACCUUCCCCCCUCUGGCCUGGAAAACUGAAUCCAAUAUCAAAUCAAAGGAUCUUGUGGAUCUUUGGAUGGUAGGAUCACUAUAGGAUCAGGCUGUGUAUCGUGUACACAGUAGGAUUGCUAUAGGAUCACACUAGGAGGAAAGGAUCUGGCGGUGACCCUAUUCUGUAUAUUCUAGGAUCACUGAAGGAUCUUACUUGGAUCACUGAUGGAUCUAAGGAGUUAUCUCUAAAAAGUUAAGGAUUGCUAAUGGAUCUUGGGAUAUGUCUUUGAAAUACACUGGGAUUACUAAUGGAUCUUAAGAUAUGUGUAUUAAAACUACUAGGAUCACUUUCAGUCUUGUCCAGUUUGCUGCAAAAUCUGACAAGUUUAGAUUUUAAUGGCUAGGACUAGUAAUACCCUACUCUGAUCACUAAUGGAUUGUCUCAAAUAUCUUAACUUAAAAUCACUUGGAUCAAUGACAGAUAUUGCUUGGAUCUCACAGUAUGUCUAGCUUAGAAUACCAGCAUUGCUAACAGGUCGAGAUUGGAUAUAGGAUACCACUAGCUUAAAAAUACUUUAAUUUUGCUCGGAUUGGAGGAGAUAUAGCUAAUGACUACAGGGACUGCUGAUCAUGAGGGACCUUGCUUGGAUCUUAGGACAUCUAGCUUUUAAAUGGGACUGCUGAGGGAUCUUGUUCAGGAUCUUAAACACUCUAGCUUUAUGAUUAGGAUUCUAUGGGAUCUUGCUUGGAUCUUAUGAUACACCUAGCUUAUGAAUAGGACUGUGGAGUGAUCAAAUAGGACUGUUGAGGGAUCUUGUCCUUGGGAAACAUCUAGUUUAUGAAUAGGACUGUUGAGCAAUCUUGGUCGGAUCUUGGGAAACAUCUAGCUCAUCAAUAGCACUACUGAGGAAUCUUGCUUGGAUUUUAGGAUACAUCUAGCAUAUAAGUAAGAGUGCAGAGGGAUCGUGGGAUAAAUUGAACUGACAAUAGAUAGGACUGUUUGAUCUUUGGAUACAUCUAGAUUAGAAAUACUAGGACUGUUGACAGUUCUUGCUUGGAUUUUAUGUUCUUUCUAACUUUUGACCCCUCAUGUCGAUGCACCCAUCUCAAAUCAUGUAUCUUAAAAUGUAUGUCUCAAGUUAACCAUAACUAGUCCAGGAUUGUUGGUGGAUUUUGCUCCAAUUACUUUGGAUCAGGCAAUACAGCUUAUGAUGAAGAAGUAGGAUUGAUGAAGGAUAUCACUUUUAUCAGAAACCGAUGAUCUGAAGAAACCUGUUUAUCGGUGAUCAGGUUUCUUGAGAAUCUUUUGCACAAAGAUAUACAAACACAAUAUAACAGGAUCAUCACAAAUAUCUUUUGGGUAUGUUAAACCGAAGCAAAGGAACAAAUUUGUGGUGUAACUUUUCCAAGUAUGCUAGUAUUCACAUAGUUUCAAGAACUUCUAGAUAAUACACCAUUUGAUUUUGAUAGCUGGAAUAGAAUGUACCGUCAAAGAAAUUUGUAGCAUUUAGAUUCUACUCGAAGGUUCCAUAAAAUGAAAAUGUUCAUUGGAUUUCAAAAAGAGGCUUAAAUUUUUUUAAGUGAGAAAAGAUGCACAUAGAAAUUUUUUUUUUCUUAAAUUCAACUCUGGUUUUAAGCUGAUUUUGAAAAUCCUAUUAGUGACGACCAGAAAUAUGAUUCAGUUGAAUUCUUGUUUUCUAAUAAUUACGAAGUAAAUGCAUUUACAUUCAGUAAUUAUUCCUCUUGUUAUUGUUUAAAUGUGUUAUAAAACUCUCAAGACCAAUAAAAGAUACAAAACUA
Ylistrum balloti is the source of this 3307-nucleotide RNA transcript. It is a transcript of the gene named serine/arginine-rich splicing factor 1B-like, with no coding region annotated. NCBI's taxonomy places the organism in Eukaryota, Metazoa, Mollusca, Bivalvia, Pectinida, Pectinidae. The record is from RefSeq and is a predicted model, not a curated record. The transcript is spliced from 6 exons.